RNAcentral lists this ribosomal RNA (263 nucleotides) under uncultured archaeon. RNAcentral's name for it is "partial 16S ribosomal RNA". It matches the Rfam family "Archaeal small subunit ribosomal RNA", at positions 748 to 1010 of the family's 1478-position model. The record is from RNAcentral.
CAGCCGUAAACUAUGCUCGCUAGGUGUCAGGCAUGGCGCGACCGUGUCUGGUGCCGCAGGGAAGCCGUGAAGCGAGCCACCUGGGAAGUACGGCCGCAAGGCUGAAACUUAAAGGAAUUGGCGGGGGGAGCACAACAACGGGUGGAGCCUGCGGUUUAAUUGGACUCAACGCCGGGAAGCUCACCGGAUAAGACAGCGGAAUGAUUGCCGGGCUGAAGACUCUGCAUGACUAGCUGAGAGGUGGUGCAUGGCGUAGACGGUCU